This 440-nucleotide ribosomal RNA is filed under the name uncultured bacterium. Its description in RNAcentral is "partial 16S ribosomal RNA". It matches the Rfam family "Bacterial small subunit ribosomal RNA", at positions 338 to 795 of the family's 1533-position model. The record is from RNAcentral.
CCUACGGGAGGCAGCAGUGGGGGAUAUUGCACAAUGGGGGGAACCCUGAUGCAGCGACGCCGCGUGGGUGAAGAAGCGCCUCGGCGCUUAAAGCCCUGUCAGCAGGGGAGAAAAUUACGGUACCUGAAGAAGAAGCCCCGUCUCACUACGUGACAGCAGCCGCGGGAAUACGUAGGGGGCCAGCGUUAUCCGGAUUUACUGGGGGUAAAGGGGGCGCAGACGGCGAUGCAAGUCAGGAGUGAAACCCCGGGGCCCAACCCCGGGACUGCGCUUGAAACUGCGUGGCUUGAGUGCAGGAGGGGAAGGCGGAAUGCGUGGUGUAGCGGGGAAAUGCGUAGAUAUCAGGAGGAACACCGGUGGCGAAGGCGGCAUGCUGGACUGCAACUGACGUUGAGGCCCGAAAGCGUGGGGAGCAAACAGGAUUAGAUACCCUUGUAGUC